CCUACGGGGGACAGCAGUAGGGCAUAUUGCUCAAUGGGGGAAACCCUGAAGCAGCAACGCCGCGUGGAUGAUGAAGGUUUUCGGAUUGUAAACUCCUUUUGUUAGAGAAGAUAAUGACGGUAUCUAACGAAUAAGCACCGGCUAACUCCGUGCCAGCAGCCGCGGUAAUACGGAGGGUGCAAGCGUUACUCGGAAUCAUUGGGCGUAAAGCGCGCGUAGGCGGGAUGGCAAGUCAGAUGUGAAAUCCCAUGGCUUAACCAUAGAACUGCAUUUGAAACUGUUAGUCUAGAGUAUGGGAGAGGUAGGUGGAAUUCUUGGUGUAGGGGUAAAAUCCGUAGAGAUCAGGAGGAAUA
This 353-nucleotide ribosomal RNA is filed under the name uncultured bacterium. Its description in RNAcentral is "partial 16S ribosomal RNA". It matches the Rfam family "Bacterial small subunit ribosomal RNA", at positions 338 to 708 of the family's 1533-position model. The record is from RNAcentral.